CGGUAUCCUGACCGUGCUAAGGUAGCAUAAUAAUUUGCCUCUUAAUUGGUGGCUAGAAUGAAUGGACAAACGAGAGCCUAGCUGUCUCCUAUUUACAAUUAUAAACUAACCUUCAGGCGAAAAGGCCUGAAUAAUUUUAUAGGACAAGAAGACCCUGUCAAGCUUCAUCAAAAAAAUUGCUAAAAUUUAAUAUUUUAAUAAACAAACCAAUUCUUAUUGAUUUAGUUGGGGCGACUGGGGACCAAAACUAGCGUCCCCCCCUACUAUUAGGAUAAUAAUCCUAUCAAACUGAUCCCUAAAAGACCAAGAGAAAAGCUACUGCAGGGAUAACAGGCUAAUUUUCCUCAAGAGCCCAAAUCGAAAGGAAAGUUUGGCACCUCGAUGUUGGCUUAGGAA
This 396-nucleotide ribosomal RNA is filed under the name Scoloplos dayi. RNAcentral's name for it is "partial 16S ribosomal RNA". It matches the Rfam family "Bacterial large subunit ribosomal RNA", at positions 1934 to 2543 of the family's 2925-position model. The record is from RNAcentral. Lineage: Eukaryota; Metazoa; Annelida; Polychaeta; Orbiniidae.